GACAGGGGGCCCCGAGCGUUAGUCGGAAUUACUGGGCUUAAAGGGUGCGUAGGCGGACUGGUAAGUGUCGUGUGAAAGCCCACCGCUCAACGGUGGAACCGCACGGCAUACUGCCAGUCUCGAGGAAGGUAGAGGCCGGUGGAACGAUUGGUGGAGCGGUGGAAUGCGUAGAUAUCAAUCGGAACGCCAAAGGUGAAGACAGCCGGCUGGGCCUUUCCUGACGCUGAGGCACGAAAGCGCGGGGAGCAAACAGGAUUAGAAA
RNAcentral lists this ribosomal RNA (262 nucleotides) under uncultured bacterium. RNAcentral describes it as "partial 16S ribosomal RNA". It matches the Rfam family "Bacterial small subunit ribosomal RNA", at positions 524 to 784 of the family's 1533-position model. The record is from RNAcentral.